RNAcentral lists this transfer RNA (77 nucleotides) under Escherichia coli phage vB_EcoM_Shy. RNAcentral describes it as "tRNA-Leu". It matches the Rfam family "tRNA". Rfam says of the family: Transfer RNA (tRNA) molecules are approximately 80 nucleotides in length. Their secondary structure includes four short double-helical elements and three loops (D, anti-codon, and T loops). Lineage: Duplodnaviria; Heunggongvirae; Uroviricota; Caudoviricetes; Andersonviridae. The record is from RNAcentral.
GCUCCAUUACUCCAAUUGGCAGAGGCCAGACUUAAAAUCUGUGUUAUGUAUCGGUUCGAAUCCGAUAUGGAGUACCA